CAGUAGCCACGGUAAUGCGAAGGGGACUAGCGUUGUUCGGAAUCACUGGGCGUAAAGGGUGCGUAGGCGGAUUCUUAAGUCAGGGGUGAAAUCCCGAGGCUCAACCUCGGAACUGCCUUUGAUACUGGGGAUCUUGAGUCCGGAAGAGGUGAGUGGAACUGCGAGUGUAGAGGUGAAAUUCGUAGAUAUUCGCAAGAACACCAGUGGCGAAGGCGGCUCACUGGUCCGGAACUGACGCUGAGGCACGACAGCGUGGGGAGCAAACAGGAUUAGAGACCCCCGUAGUCCCUGUCUCUUAUAC
This 301-nucleotide ribosomal RNA is filed under the name uncultured bacterium. RNAcentral's name for it is "partial 16S ribosomal RNA". It matches the Rfam family "Bacterial small subunit ribosomal RNA", at positions 509 to 807 of the family's 1533-position model. The record is from RNAcentral.